Molecule: small RNA, 65 nt
Filed under: Arabidopsis thaliana (thale cress)
Lineage: Eukaryota; Viridiplantae; Streptophyta; Magnoliopsida; Brassicales; Brassicaceae
Description: ATSL187020
Source: RNAcentral
AUUUGAAGUUUUCGAAGAAAAUAAACGAGGUUUGCUUCCUUCUCUCUGAUCUUGAUAUUUCUAUU